RNAcentral lists this ribosomal RNA (485 nucleotides) under uncultured bacterium. RNAcentral describes it as "partial 16S ribosomal RNA". It matches the Rfam family "Bacterial small subunit ribosomal RNA", at positions 355 to 829 of the family's 1533-position model. The record is from RNAcentral.
UGGGGAAUUUUGGACAAUGGGGGAAACCCUGAUCCAGCCAUCCCGCGUGUGCGAUGAAGGCCUUCGGGUUGUAAAGCACUUUUGGCAGGAAAGAAACGUCGCGGGUUAAUACCCCGCGAAACUGACGGUACCUGCAGAAUAAGCACCGGCUAACUACGUGCCAGCAGCCGCGGUAAUACGUAGGGUGCAAGCGUUAAUCGGAAUUACUGGGCGUAAAGCGUGCGCAGGCGGUUCGGAAAGAAAGAUGUGAAAUCCCAGAGCUUAACUUUGGAACUGCAUUUUUAACUACCGGGCUAGAGUGUGUCAGAGGGAGGUGGAAUUCCGCGUGUAGCAGUGAAAUGCGUAGAUAUGCGGAGGAACACCGAUGGCGAAGGCAGCCUCCUGGGAUAACACUGACGCUCAUGCACGAAAGGCGUGGGGAGCAAAGCAGGAUUAGAUACCCUGGUAGUCCACGCCCCUAAACGAUGUCAACUAGCUGUUGGGGG